RNAcentral lists this ribosomal RNA (468 nucleotides) under uncultured bacterium. Its description in RNAcentral is "partial 16S ribosomal RNA". It matches the Rfam family "Bacterial small subunit ribosomal RNA", at positions 28 to 507 of the family's 1533-position model. The record is from RNAcentral.
GACGAACGCUGGCGGCGUGCUUAACACAUGCAAGUCGAACGGAAAGGUCCUGCUUUUGUGGGGUGCUCGAGUGGCGAACGGGUGAGUAACACGUGAGUAACCUGCCCUUGACUUUGGGAUAACUUCAGGAAACUGGGGCUAAUACCGGAUAGGAGCUCCUGCUGCAUGGUGGGGGUUGGAAAGUUUCGGCGGUUGGGGAUGGACUCGCGGCUUAUCAGCUUGUUGGUGGGGUAGUGGCUUACCAAGGCUUUGACGGGUAGCCGGCCUGAGAGGGUGACCGGCCACAUUGGGACUGGAGUAAGGCCCCGGCUCCGAAGGGAGGCAGCGGUGGGGAAUAUUGCACAAUGGGCGGAAGCCUGAUGCAGCAACGCCGCGUGCGGGAUGACGGCCUUCGGGUUGUAAACCGCUUUCGCCUGUGACGAAGCGUGAGUGACGGUAAUGGGUAAAGAAGCACCGGCUAACUACGUG